CCAGUCUAAGGCUGUGGGAUGCUAAGUGUUCAAGAUUAUGUCUUCCUUCUCUUGGGAGUGGGAGGUACCAGAUAGGCAGCCUGGGCCGGACACUCACCUUCCACCUCCGGGUGCUUCAGCAGCAGCAAGAAUCCAUAGCGUAGCGUGGAGCUCACAGUCUCCGUGCCAGCAAAGAAGAGGUUCAGGGUGGGCGUACUCAUCUCGAUGAAAGCCGAGUUGAUCAUCUGCAGCAGAUUCAAGAACUGCUUGUCCUCGUAGUCGAAGCGACUUCCGAACACAACAGAACUGAUAACAUUGGAGACGGUGCGGCUCAGGAAGAAGUAGAUAUUUUGAACACUUGUCAUAUGCCUCAAGUGCUGAGACACAGCGAUGAACGAGACAACGUGGUGGCCCUUCACAAAGUUGACACUGAGAACACUCUUUCCAGUGGCUGAUUGGUACUCACCUAGGAGCAGCUCAACUUGGAAGCCAGCUGCUCCGGUAAGCUCUUCCUCACAGACCCACCGAGGUUAGUCAGUGUUUCCUAUUUUGUGCUCACCAAACCCCCUUUAGAGCACUUAUCAUGAUUACGAUUAAUUAUAGUAAUCCUCGCACCUGUGAGCAUUUAUUUUUGUGCCAGGCUGUUCUCCCCAUGUUAAAU
Non-coding RNA from Microcebus murinus (gray mouse lemur), 640 nucleotides. Lineage: Eukaryota; Metazoa; Chordata; Mammalia; Primates; Cheirogaleidae. The record is from RefSeq and is a predicted model, not a curated record.